UACGUAGGAUGCAAGCGUUGUCCGGAUUUACUGGGCGUAAAGCGUGCGCAGGCGGUUCGUUAAGUCAGCUGUGAAAGCCCCGGGCUCAACCUGGGAAUUGCGGUUGAAACUGGCGAACUAGAAUCUGGCAGAGGGGGGUGGAAUUCCACGUGUAGCAGUGAAAUGCGUAGAGAUGUGGAGGAACACCGAUGGCGAAGGCAGCCCCCUGGGCUGAGAUUGACGCUCAGGCACGAAAGCGUGGGGAGCAAACAGG
RNAcentral lists this ribosomal RNA (253 nucleotides) under uncultured bacterium. Its description in RNAcentral is "partial 16S ribosomal RNA". It matches the Rfam family "Bacterial small subunit ribosomal RNA", at positions 524 to 776 of the family's 1533-position model. The record is from RNAcentral.